AACAUCGCGCACCUGCGGGAACCUGCGGAAGGAUCAUUACAGAGUUGCAAAACUCCCUAAACCACUGUGAACGUUACCUAAACCGUUGCUUCGGCGGGCGGCCCGGGUCCUUCCCGGCGCCCAUCGGCCCUCGCGGGCGCCCGCCGGAGGUAAACCAAACUAUUGCAUUGUAUGGCCUCUCUGAGUCUUCUGUACUGAAUAAGUCAAAACUUUCAACAAUGGAUCUCAGAUCGGAAGAGC
RNAcentral lists this unclassified non-coding RNA (240 nucleotides) under soil metagenome. RNAcentral describes it as "partial contains 5.8S ribosomal RNA, internal transcribed spacer 2, and large subunit ribosomal RNA". The record is from RNAcentral.